This 1191-nucleotide ribosomal RNA is filed under the name Triticum aestivum (bread wheat). RNAcentral's name for it is "partial small subunit ribosomal RNA". The record is from RNAcentral. Lineage: Eukaryota; Viridiplantae; Streptophyta; Magnoliopsida; Poales; Poaceae.
AUGAGGCGUGAGGAGGGUGAGACGGGUAGUAGCAUCCCCCGGCAUCCCCGCUCGCCGGUGGUGGGGCCCCUCGAAGAUGAUGACCUUCUCUUGGAGAUCCUCCUUCGCCUGCCCCCGCAGCCGUCGUCCCUCCCUCGUGCCUCCGCCGUAUGUAGGCAAUGGCGCCUCCUCGUCACGGACCCAGGCUUCUCCCGCCGCUUCUGUCGCUACCACCGCCGCAAUCUUCCCAUCAUUGGUUUCUACAACCGACAUCUUCCAGACAUCUCCUUCGUACCUACUCUGAAGGACCUAGACCGUAUCCCACCUGGGCGAUUGUCCUUGCAGCCUCAACGUGACGACCAAAACUUCUCCACCUUUGGAUGCCGCCAUGGUCUCGUACUGGUCCAUGUCCGAGACUUCGAACCGCUAAAGCACCAUAUUCUGGUGUGGGAUCCUGUCACUGGUGAGCAGCACGACCCUGGCAUUCCCCUGGGGAUCGAUACAGGGAACCGAUUCAAUGGAGCAGUGCUUCGGGCUACAGGAAAUUUUGACCACUUCCAGGUGGUCUUGAUAGGCAACAGCGACAAAAGACGAGCGGUCGCAAGUGUUUACUCGUCAGAGACCGGUGUAUGGAGCAAUCUCGUUUCAACAUCAACAUCGUUGCCACUAAUGGACACUACAGACCCUUUUUCCGGCUGGUGUUUUAACGGUAUAUCCUUUGAACCCGCUGUGUUGGUUAGGAAUUCCCUAUACUGGCUGCUGGGAGCGGGCUCGGUUGGAAUUCUCGAGUUUGAUUUGGAGAGGCAAAGCCUUGCUGUGAUAGGGUUGCCGGUGUGUGUGGGUGCUGGGAGUGAGACUGGGAGCAAUGAUCGGUUCUCGAUUACGCAAGCAGAAGAUGGUGGGCUGGGUUUCCUCUCCCUGUCAGGCUUCAACGCCCAAUUAUGGAAGAGGAAGACCAAAUAUGAUGGUAUUGCUUCAUGGGUGAUGGAAAAAAUUAUUGAACUGGACAAACUACUGAAAAUUCCCAUGGAUCCAAAUAGGAAUGAACACGUUAUUAAGGUAAUUGGGUUUGCCGAGAACAAUAAUGCGGUGUUCUUGUACACAAAAAUCGGCAUCGUCGCGUUCCAUCUCGAGUCGUUGCAGUUCAAGAAGCUUCCUGGAUCUAGAAGUGUUGCUUACUAUUAUCCAUUUGAAAGUGUAUGGUGUAUGUAA